RNAcentral lists this ribosomal RNA (460 nucleotides) under uncultured bacterium. RNAcentral describes it as "partial 16S ribosomal RNA". It matches the Rfam family "Bacterial small subunit ribosomal RNA", at positions 338 to 795 of the family's 1533-position model. The record is from RNAcentral.
CCUACGGGGGGCAGCAGUGAGGAAUAUUGGUCAAUGGACGAGAGUCUGAACCAGCCAAGUAGCGUGAAGGAUGACUGCCCUAUGGGUUGUAAACUUCUUUUAUAAAGGAAUAAAACGAGGCACGUGUGCCUUUUUGCAUGUACUUUAUGAAUAAGGAUCGGCUAACUCCGUGCCAGCAGCCGCGGUAAUACGGAGGAUCCGAGCGUUAUCCGGAUUUAUUGGGUUUAAAGGGAGCGUAGAUGGGUUGUUAAGUCAGUUGUGAAAGUUUGCGGCUCAACCGUAAAAUUGCAAUUGAUACUGGCAGUCUUGAGUACAGGUGAGGUAAGCGGAAUUCGUGGUGUAGCGGUGAAAUGCUUAGAUAUCACGAAGAACCCCGAUUGCGAAGGCAGCUUACUAAACUGUGACUGACAUUGAUGCUCGAAAGUGUGGGUAGCAAACAGGAUUAGAUACCCCAGUAGUC